RNAcentral lists this ribosomal RNA (457 nucleotides) under uncultured bacterium. RNAcentral describes it as "bacterial SSU rRNA". It matches the Rfam family "Bacterial small subunit ribosomal RNA", at positions 30 to 481 of the family's 1533-position model. The record is from RNAcentral.
AUUGAACGCUGGCGGAAUGCUUUACACAUGCAAGUCGAACGGUAGAGGGGGCAACCCCUUGAGAGUGGCGAACGGGUGAGUAAUAUAUCGGAACGUGCCCAGUCGUGGGGAUAACGUAGCGAAAGUUACGCUAAUACCGCAUACGAUCUAAGGAUGAAAGCGGGGGACUCGCAAGAGCCUCGCGCGAUUGGAGCGGCCGAUAUCAGAUUAGGUAGUUGGUGGGGUAAAGGCUCACCAAGCCAACGAUCUGUAGCUGGUCUGAGAGGACGACCAGCCACACUGGAACUGAGACACGGUCCAGACUCCUACGGAGGCAGCAGUGGGAAUUUUGGACAAUGGACGCAAGUCUGAUCCAGCCAUUCCGCGUGCAGGAUGAAGGCCCUCGGGUUGUAAACUGCUUUUGUACGGAACGAAAAGGGUUUCUAAUUAAUAACUUAGGAGCUCAUGACGGUACCGU